UCUUUCGCAUACGCCGCUGGUUCCGACCCCUUUCGACAAGGGCGGAUUAAAAGGGAAUCCGGUGAGGAAAGAGCCGAAGGCUGCGUUUCGACGACGAAGCGAGACCACGCCCUCGUGCCCUUCCGAGUCCGGAGCUGUACCCGCAACUGUAAGCUGCGUGCCGUACGGGCGACGAUGACGCCGCCGGUCACUGGAUCCUCCGGGAUCCGGGAAGGCCGGUGGCCGAGCCGACCCGUUGUGCUCCCCUGCCGGGAGCGCGCAGCAAGCCAGGAGACCUGCCAGCGUGCGUCUGUGCCG
This 297-nucleotide non-coding RNA is filed under the name Rhodothermaceae bacterium. The record is from RNAcentral. Lineage: Bacteria; Pseudomonadati; Rhodothermota; Rhodothermia; Rhodothermales; Rhodothermaceae.